Non-coding RNA from Pelobates cultripes (western spadefoot toad), 203 nucleotides. NCBI's taxonomy places the organism in Eukaryota, Metazoa, Chordata, Amphibia, Anura, Pelobatidae. The record is from the annotation of a GenBank genome assembly.
AAAGGCGUUUCAAAGAAGUUGGCAGUACAUCCAACCGGCCUCACAAUCACAGACCAUGAGUAACCACACCAGCCCAGGACCUCCACAUCCAGCAUCUUCACCUUUAACCCCUUAAGAUUGUCUGAGACCAGCCACCCGGACAGCUACUGCAACAAUCGGUUUGCAUAACUGAAGAAUGUCUGCAUAAACUGUCAGAAACCGUC